UGAGGAAUAUUGGUCAAUGGGCGAGAGCCUGAACCAGCCAAGUAGCGUGCAGGAUGACGGCCCUAUGGGUUGUAAACUGCUUUUAUGUGGGGAUAAAGUGCGUGACGUGUCAUGCAUUGCAGGUACCACAUGAAUAAGGACCGGCUAAUUCCGUGCCAGCAGCCGCGGUAAUACGGAAGGUCCGGGCGUUAUCCGGAUUUAUUGGGUUUAAAGGGAGCGUAGGCUGUCUAUUAAGCGUGUUGUGAAAUUUACCGGCUCAACCGGUGGCUUGCAGCGCGAACUGGUCGAGUUGAGUAUGCAGGAAGUAGGCGGAAUUCAUGGUGUAGCGGUGAAAUGCUUAGAUAUCAUGACGAACUCCGAUUGCGCAGGCAGCUUACUGUAGCAUAACUGACGCUGAUGGUCGAAAGUGCGAGUAUCAAACAGG
RNAcentral lists this ribosomal RNA (424 nucleotides) under Fusobacteriota bacterium. RNAcentral describes it as "Fusobacteria bacterium partial 16S ribosomal RNA". It matches the Rfam family "Bacterial small subunit ribosomal RNA", at positions 355 to 776 of the family's 1533-position model. The record is from RNAcentral. Lineage: Bacteria; Fusobacteriati; Fusobacteriota.